RNAcentral lists this transfer RNA (74 nucleotides) under Actinomadura sp. CNU-125. Its description in RNAcentral is "tRNA-Ala". Lineage: Bacteria; Bacillati; Actinomycetota; Actinomycetes; Streptosporangiales; Thermomonosporaceae. The record is from RNAcentral.
CGAGUUGCUAGAAUUUUGAGUUUAUCUCGUUCGCAUCGAGGGGGCCAGGGGUUCAAAUCCCCUCAGCUCCACCA